RNAcentral lists this ribosomal RNA (433 nucleotides) under uncultured bacterium. RNAcentral's name for it is "partial 16S ribosomal RNA". It matches the Rfam family "Bacterial small subunit ribosomal RNA", at positions 29 to 507 of the family's 1533-position model. The record is from RNAcentral.
AACGAACGCUGGCGGCAUGCCUAACACAUGCAAGUCGAACGAGACCUUCGGGUCUAGUGGCGCACGGGUGCGUAACGCGUGGGAACCUGCCCUUAGGUUCGGAAUAACUCCCCGAAAGGGGUGCUAAUACCGGAUAAUGUCUUCGGACCAAAGAUUUAUCGCCUUUGGAUGGGCCCGCGUUGGAUUAGCUAGUUGGUAGGGUAAAAGCCUACCAAGGCGACGAUCCAUAGCUGGUCUGAGAGGAUGAUCAGCCACACUGGGACUGAGACACGGCCCAGACUCCUACGGGAGGCAGCAGUAGGGAAUAUUAGACAAUGGGGGAAAGCCUGAUCCAGCAAUGCCGCGUGAGUGAUGAAGGCCUUAGGGUUGUAAAGCUCUUUUACCCGGGAUGAUAAUGACAGUACCGGGUGAAUAAGCUCCGGCUAACUCCGUG